Molecule: long non-coding RNA, 2948 nt
Filed under: Panax ginseng (ginseng)
Lineage: Eukaryota; Viridiplantae; Streptophyta; Magnoliopsida; Apiales; Araliaceae
Description: long non-coding RNA (PGIN_LNC011126)
Source: RNAcentral
CCCUUGCUUCUUCCACUAGAGUUACUAUUAACUCUUCUUGUUCCGUAUCUUCCUCUUCCAUUUCUUAGAUAAUCUGCUCCACGUCGGGAGCUUCCUCUUGAUUAUCCACUGCAUCUAGGAGCUCGAUGUCAUGCUGGUGCAAAUUUAGAUCAUCGUCAUCUGAUGUGUCGGCAAAGUUUAUCCUUGGAUGAUAGCCAGUAGGAUCCUCCAUUGGAUCUUCACUAGGAUCACUUUCCGAAUCACCUGCAGGUGUGUAGUCUGGUUCAAUCACCACUUCGUUAAUGUCUCUCCAUUCCGGUUCUCUGGCUAGCCAUUUCUACAAAAGAGUGUAGCUUUAAUUUAGUAUAUUUCUUUCACAUAAUAUUUUUAUGUUUUAUGAAUUUUAAGAUUUAUUUGUAUCUUUUAAUUAUCUAUGAACUUUCUUCAAGUUCAUUGAUUCCUACUUCCUCUGAUCAUAUCCUAAGGUAUUCGUUACCUUAAGAGUUAUAAUCUACAACUUUGAUACCAACCUGUGACGCCCCAAAUCCCUGUACUUGCUAGAGCGAAUCUGGUGAUCACUUUACUUAUUUUAACCUUAAGUUUUAGACAUUCUAUACUUCUAUAUAUCCAAGGUUCAGAGCAUUAAUAAUAGGAUUCUUCUUGGAACAGAAGAAUCUUGCGAAAAAUUAGGCUCUUUAUCCGUGGCAAGAUUCCUUUUCUUAUAGAACUCCCCAUAUUAUUCAAUAUCCUAACUUAGGUACAUGUCUUUAUAGAGAUACCUCUUCAUAUUGAUAUUUAUUCUAUACCUGAAGUUCACAAUAUUAAUAACAAGCUUGUUCUUGGAACAGAGGAACCUUGCGUUAAAGAUUUGUAUUUGUCGGUGCUAAAUCUCUGUGCUUACAGAACUCACAAUGUUAUUCAAUAUUCUCAUUCAGAUGUAUAGUUCUGUAUCAAUAUUGUAUUAAUGUUUCAAAAUUCUAAAUUCUGUGAAAGUAACUACACAACAUUUGAUGAUAAUAACAUGAUAUUAUUGAUAUAAGAUUCGGUUACAUGAUUUGCUUGUUUGUAUUACAAAAUUCAUUAUGACUACAACAAAAUGACAAGCGAUUAUAUAAUACAUGUAAACUAGUCUGCGCAUUUCUUCUUUCUCUUCUUCUUAGAGCCAGAGCUCUCGGGUUUAUCCUCUUUAGCUGCAAAUGGGGAUUUAUUUGCAAGAGUGAGCAAAGUUGCUCAACAAGUCUAAACACAUAGCAUAUAAGUGAACUCACACCGAUAGAGAAUUUAAAAGCUUUAUAGCUCAAUAAAAGAUAUAACAAUUGUUUUAACAUAGUAAAGUUGAGUGGUAAUUAAACCAAGAACUAAUGUUCGUUCGUCUUUCGACUUAGAACCAUACAAUGGAUAUCUAUAGGGGAUCAACCUAACGACAUCCUUUGUUAUGCAUAACAUACACUACACUGAACUACUCAUGAACAAUGUUUAAAUCAGGUACCCGACACAUCAUAUUUAUCCCUAUGAAUUAGGGGGGUUCAUCUCAGUUUACUUUACAUGCAGAGGUUGCCCAAAAACAAUUUGGUUUGACUAAAUAGCUCAUAUAAAGAAUUAUAGCAAUUCAGUACUUCACGAAUAAACGUUCAUUUCUUAAGUUAUGCCAAAACUAGUAGCAAUAACUUCAUUCAAGAAUUUAUAACACGUUGCACAAAGUGCAUAAAUAUCAUAUAAAACUGGCAAUAUAAAUUUGGGUAGAAGACUUGCCUCGAUGCGUAUUUAUAGUUAAACAAUAAGCUUAACUUGUUUUGUAAAUAGGGGUGUAUGCCGAGCAGAGUAGCUCGGUACUCGACUCUAGAUCGGAUCGAAAAUAUGAUCCAAAACUCAAAUUCGAAAUUGAUUCGAGUCUAAUCUGAUCCAUACUCGUUUUCUGUUUAAUGAUACACGAGUCGAAUUCGAGUAUACCAGUGUUCGCUCAGAUUAGGGUUCGAGUAUUUCAUUUUUUCUUGAACCAUACUCGAAUCUACAAGAUGGAUCAUGUUCGAAUAUUGGUCUGAUCAAUACUAACAAGCUAAAUAUGUUAUAUUUGUAUUAAUCUUUAUAAUUUAUAAAGUGUAGUAUUAAAUUUUGUAAACUUGUACAGUUGUACUUGAAUAAAUCAAUAAAUUGAUUGUCAAUUUGUAUUACAUUUUUUUUUAAUUUCUUUACAUAAAUAAAAAUAAAAAACUUUAUAUAUAAAUAUUAGUUCAAUAAUCAAUUUAGUAUGUAGUGGUUCAGUAUUAAAUGAAAUGGUUCAUAUUCUAAAUUCGAUUUGAAGGCUCACGAGUAACUCGUUUUGUAAACGAGCCGAGUAGGUCCGAGUAAUUAUCCGAGUCGAAUCUGGUGCAAAAUUAGAAAUUUCUAAUCGAAUCUGAGUCGAAUUCGAGCUCAUUUUUUUCAAGCCAAGCCGAAUCUGAGCAUUAGGAUGUUCGCUUAGAUUCAACUCGUUUACACCCUUAUUUGUAAAUCCUACACAAUUUUAAGUGUAUACGGGUAUUAGUUUAUUGUCUAAUUAAACUUUAUAAGUCAUAUAUAUGACUAUUUUCAUAGGUGGUGUAAGCCCCAAAACAAUUUGGUUCAUAAUUUCUUGUUUUAACUAAGUAAAACAUGAUCUCAAAAGCAUUGCAAAGCUAAGCCAUCAUGUUUUACCACUCUAUAACAUCUAAUAACAAAAUCAUAAAUCUACUUAUACAUAAAUCCAUGAUUUUUACUCACGAAUAUUUGAAAUAAUUUAAACAUGGUAACAACUAGUGUUUUUGAUCUUUUCUACUCUAUACUUGUUUUGAGUUGAACAUGAUAACAACUAAGGAUAUCAUACAUUUACUCUAAACAUAAAUUGAAUUGAGCAUGGUAACUACUAUGAUUAUGCAUAUUUCUACUCUAUACAUGAAUCGAAAAUAAUAACUAAGAUUCUACCUCUUAGCGUGCAAGCUUUACGUUUCUUA